GUCCUCAUAGUUCAACGGAUAGAACGAGGGACUCCUAAGCCCUAGAUCGAGGUUCAAUUCCUCGUGGGGACA
RNAcentral lists this transfer RNA (72 nucleotides) under bacterium. RNAcentral describes it as "tRNA-Arg". It matches the Rfam family "tRNA". From Rfam's summary of the family: Transfer RNA (tRNA) molecules are approximately 80 nucleotides in length. The record is from RNAcentral.